AAGCACUGUAUUUGAACCUGUUAAGCCCCUUCAUGGCUCAAUGGGUCAAGCAACAGUGCAACAGUAAAAGUCUGUUAUAACUGGAGCUUCUUGGAUUCCCCCCCCCAAGUUGCUCUUUUAAAAGCAGUCGAUAACU
Small nucleolar RNA from Carassius auratus (goldfish), 136 nucleotides. The record is from Ensembl. Lineage: Eukaryota; Metazoa; Chordata; Actinopteri; Cypriniformes; Cyprinidae.